Xenia sp. Carnegie-2017 is the source of this 144-nucleotide long non-coding RNA. RefSeq lists it as uncharacterized. The record is from RefSeq and is a predicted model, not a curated record. The transcript has 3 exons. NCBI's taxonomy places the organism in Eukaryota, Metazoa, Cnidaria, Anthozoa, Malacalcyonacea, Xeniidae.
AAUAUGAACAAUAAGAAGUAGAUGAUAUUCAAUCCACAAAGCUUAUAUAAAUAUUUACAGAAACAUUUCUUAAGAAAUAAAGUUUCUGGUUCAUUAAAACUCAUUAAAACAAUUAUCAUUAAAACAAUUCCAUGUAAUCUGCGU